GUUCUCACUUUAGCAACACAUAUGCCAGAAUUGGAGUAAUACAGAGAUUAGCAUGGUCUCUUGCAUAAGAAUAGCAUGUAAACAGUGUGAAAUACCACAUUAAG
Molecule: small nuclear RNA, 104 nt
Filed under: Sus scrofa (pig)
Lineage: Eukaryota; Metazoa; Chordata; Mammalia; Artiodactyla; Suidae
Source: RNAcentral